Molecule: long non-coding RNA, 732 nt
Filed under: Equus caballus (horse)
Lineage: Eukaryota; Metazoa; Chordata; Mammalia; Perissodactyla; Equidae
Description: lncRNA (ENSECAG00000046297.1)
Source: RNAcentral
AAAUAAGUAAAUUCCAUCUGUCUUUUUUGCUGAAAACACCCGUCACACAAGCCUUUGCAACAGAAGACUCUAGAUUUGGAAUAACACAAUGGCACCCAUGCAAAGAGAGGAAGUAUCUGGUUCGGGAAAAAGCCUUCCUACUUUGAUUCAGCAGGCCAGUUUCCCACUUUUCUUCUUUUUUUAAAUCUCCUUUCCUCACUAUAUCCUGGCCACCCUCGUUCAUAGAAUGAGAAGGAAGAAAGAAACAGUGAAGGGAAGAAGGAGACAGGAGACAAAGGAGAAGCAACAGGAACCAAUGAUCGCUCCUUUGAAAUGUUUCUCACUUUCAACCAGGCAUGCCUCCACCCCAUUCCACCCCGCCACCCCCCUCCAAGCCAGGACACCUCACCCCUGGACUGCCACCCUCAUCCAAGGACCACCACCCUCAUCCAAGCCAGGACCCCUCACCCCUGGACCGCCACCCUCAUCCAAGCCAGGACCCCUCACCCCUGGACCGCCAUCCUCAUCCAAGCCAGGACCCCUCACCCCUGGACCGCCACCCUCAUCCAAGCCAGGACCCCUCACCCCUGGACCGCCACCCCCGUCCAAGCCAGGACACCUCACCCCUGGACCGCCACCCUCAUCCAAGCCAGGACACUUCACCCCUGGACCGUGGUACAACUACCUGGUGUGUCUCCUGCUUCCACUUCUGUGACGUCCUGCCCACAAUCCUUUUGCAGCACACUAGCCAAG